UUUCAAUUUUCUUGAUUUUACUUUCCCGCUCUUUCCCUCUAUUUCUUUUCAUUUUAUUCUGUCUCUCUGUCUUUCGUUUUUCGUCUGUUAUUUAUUUUCAUCCCUCAAAAAUUUCCCCUCAAUUCUUGUUUUCCCACUAUCUCGCUUUAAUUUCUCCUUCACUUUAUCAACGUGUAUUUCAUUUUUCCCUUCAUUUCUUUAACCUUCUUCAUUUCAUAUAAUUUUUCACCUUGAUCUCCCUCUCCCUCUCUCCCUCCACUCUCCCUCUCUCUGAUUUAUUUACUCUCCUUAUAUUAUCGUUGUUAUUUCCUUCUCUCCAGGUAUUAUCAGUUCACUAAUUACCUUGAAAGAUUAACCUGUGAAAUUAUGUGCGAGCAGAUUAGAGGAGGAAAUAUUAGAGGAGGUAAUUCUCUCGGCUAUUUGAUGGAGUGCAAGAGAGAGAGAGAGAGAGAGAGAGAGAGACUUGCUUGAAUCUACCUUAUCUUACCUUCAGUCAAAUUUCAUCAAGCGGGAUUCAGUUCUGUUAUGUUUGGUCCUGAUAAUGAAGGUGAUCUGUGAAUUAACUCUGCCCGCCUGCCCGCUUGCCCGCCUGCCUGCCUGCCUGCCUACCUGCCCGCUCGCCUGCCUGCCUGCCUGCCCGCUCGCCUGCCUGCCUGCCCGCCCGCUCGUCAGGCUGAACAUCUGAGAGAGUUGGUAAAGAAAAUGUUCCCAAAGUGUGAGGUUGCCCAGAAAAUGUCUAUGAAAAAGACAAAAGCAUCGACAAGAAGUUCCCUGCUUUGAAUGGAAACCAUCAAAAGAUCUCAUAAGUGACAUGAAAAAUGGCAAAAUUCGUCAGCGAUAUGGGACCAAGUGUAGCAGCAGCCAACAGGCAACUCUGUAUCCUGCUGAUGACACGGAGGUUGCCAGUGGUAGCGAGGAAGGAACACAAGUUUAUGUACAAUAAUAUUCUGCUGUAUGAAAGUGGCAACACUGGUGACAGGUGGCGCUGGGGAGUUACCACGGCGAGCGGCUGGCUGGCUGCAGUGUUUUGGUCAGCACUGGUCAAUCUUGCCCUACACGCUCUAUUAACCAGUGUUUCCGUCUUCCCGACACCUUCCUGCACCAAGCACCGUCAAGCAUCACCAGAGAGGCACGAGUACGUAAGGUGUGUGGGUGGGUGUUGGAUCAGUGACAAGUGGCGCUGGGGAGUUACCACGGCGAGCGGCUGGCUGGCUGCAGUGUUUUGGUCAGCACUGGUCAAUCUUGCCCUACACGCUCUAUUAACCAGUGUUUCCGUCUUCCCGACACCUUCUUCCUGCACCAAGCACCGUCAAGCAUCACCAGAGAGGCACGAGUACGUAAGCCUAACAUAUCACAAGAUGGAUCCACAUGUCUAGCCUUCAUAUCCGCUGGUCAGAUAUAUCCGUCAUUGCCUGGUUUUGGUGUUAUAUAGGAAUAAAUAAGGCAACAUGGCCGCCGGCUCCCCCACUGAGGUCGCCCCCGAUGGCCGCCAUGAUGGA
Long non-coding RNA from Scylla paramamosain (green mud crab), 1499 nucleotides. RefSeq lists it as uncharacterized. The transcript has 3 exons. The record is from RefSeq and is a predicted model, not a curated record. NCBI's taxonomy places the organism in Eukaryota, Metazoa, Arthropoda, Malacostraca, Decapoda, Portunidae.